GGUGCCUAACACAUGCAAGUCGAACGAUGAAGCCGCCCUUGGGCGGACAUGAAGUGGCGAACGGGUGAGUAACACGUGACCAACCAGCCCCCCUCUCCGGGACAACCUUGGGAAACCGAGGCUAAUACCGGAUACUCCCUCCCCUGCUCCUGCAGGGGUCGGGAAAGCCCAGGCGGAGGGGGAUGGGGUCGCGGCCCAUUAGGUAGUAGGCGGGGUAACGGCCCACCUAGCCCGCGAUGGGUAGCCGGGUUGAGAGACCGACCGGCCACAUUGGGACUGAGAUACGGCCCAGACUCCUACGGGAGGCAGCAGUGGGGAAUUUUGCGCAAUGGGGGAAACCCUGACGCAGCAACGCCGCGUGCGGGACGACGGCCUUCGGGUUGUAAACCGCUUUCAGCAGGGAAGAAAUUCGACGGUACCUGCAGAAGAAGCUCCGGCUAACUACGUGCCAGCAGCCGCGGUAAUACGUAGGGAGCGAGCGUUAUCCGGAUUCAUUGGGCGUAAAGAGCGCGUAGGCGGCCUCUCAAGCGGGAUCUCUAAUCCGAGGGCUCAACCCCCGGCCGGAUCCCGAACUGGGAGGCUCGAGUUCGGUAGAGGCAGGCGGAAUUCCCGGUGUAGCGGUGGAAUGCGCAGAUAUCGGGAAGAACACCGAUGGCGAAGGCAGCCUGCUGGGCCGCAACUGACGCUGAGGCGCGAAAGCUAGGGGAGCGAACAGGAUUAGAUACCCUGGUAGUCCUAGCCGUAAACGAUGGAUACUAGGUGUGGGGGGCUCCGCCCUCCGUGCCGCAGCCAACGCAUUAAGUAUCCCGCCUGGGGAGUACGGCCGCAAGGCUAAAACUCAAAGGAAUUGACGGCGGCCCGCACAAGCAGCGGAGCAU
RNAcentral lists this ribosomal RNA (878 nucleotides) under uncultured organism. Its description in RNAcentral is "SSU rRNA". It matches the Rfam family "Bacterial small subunit ribosomal RNA", at positions 43 to 940 of the family's 1533-position model. The record is from RNAcentral.